This 450-nucleotide ribosomal RNA is filed under the name uncultured bacterium. RNAcentral describes it as "partial 16S ribosomal RNA". It matches the Rfam family "Bacterial small subunit ribosomal RNA", at positions 354 to 796 of the family's 1533-position model. The record is from RNAcentral.
GUGGGGAAUAUUGGACAAUGGGCGAAAGCCUGAUCCAGCCAUGCCGCGUGUGUGAAGAAGGUCUUCGGAUUGUAAAGCACUUUAAGUUGGGAGGAAGGGCAGUAAGUUAAUACCUUGCUGUUUUGACGUUACCGACAGAAUAAGCACCGGCUAACUUCGUGCCAGCAGCCGCGGUAAUACGAAGGGUGCAAGCGUUAAUCGGAAUUACUGGGCGUAAAGCGCGCGUAGGUGGUUUUGUAAGUUGGGGGUGAAAUCCCCGGGCUCAACCUGGGAACUGCCUCCAAAACUGCAUGACUAGAGUACGGUAGAGGGUAGUGGAAUUUCCUGUGUAGCGGUGAAAUGCGUAGAUAUAGGAAGGAACACCAGUGGCGAAGGCGACUACCUGGACUGAUACUGACACUGAGGUGCGAAAGCGUGGGGAGCAAACAGGAUUAGAUACCCUUGUAGUCC